UACGGGGGGUGCAAGCGUUACUCGGAAUCAUUGGGCGUAAAGGGCGCGUAGGCGGCCUGGUAAGUCAGGUGUGAAAGCCCGGGGCUCAACCCCGGAAGUGCAUUUGAUACUGCCAGGCUUGAGUAUGGGAGAGGGAAGUGGAAUUCCUGGUGUAGAGGUGAAAUUCGUAGAUAUCAGGAGGAACACCGGUGGCGAAGGCGACUUCCUGGACCAAUACUGACGCUGAGGCGCGAAGGCGUGGGGAGCAAACAGGAUUAGAUACCCUGGUAGUCCACGCAGUAAACUUUGUUCACUAGGUGUAGCGGGUAUUGACCCCUGCUGUGCCGAAGCUAACGCAUUAAGUGAACCGCCUGGGAAGUACGGCCGCAAGGUUAAA
RNAcentral lists this ribosomal RNA (376 nucleotides) under uncultured bacterium. RNAcentral describes it as "bacterial SSU rRNA". It matches the Rfam family "Bacterial small subunit ribosomal RNA", at positions 524 to 898 of the family's 1533-position model. The record is from RNAcentral.